Molecule: ribosomal RNA, 616 nt
Filed under: uncultured marine eukaryote
Lineage: Eukaryota
Description: SSU rRNA
Rfam family: Eukaryotic small subunit ribosomal RNA
Source: RNAcentral
AAAAAGCUCGUAGUCGGAUUUUGGCUGAGAACGGUCGGUCCGCCGUUAGGUGUGCACUGACUGGUCUCAGCUUCCUGGUGAGGAGGUGUGCUUCAUCGCCACUUAGUCACCGUGGUUACUUUGAAAAAAUUAGAGUGUUCAAAGCGGGCUUACGCUUGAAUAUAUUAGCAUGGAAUAACACCAUAGGACUCCUGUCCUAUUUCGUUGGUCUCGGGACGGGAGUAAUGAUUAAGAGGAACAGUUGGGGGCAUUCGUAUUUCAUUGUCAGAGGUGAAAUUCUUGGAUUUAUGAAAGACGAACUUCUGCGAAAGCAUUUGCCAAGGAUGUUUUCAUUGAUCAAGAACGAAAGUUGGGGGCUCGAAGAUGAUUAGAUAUCAUCCUAGUCUCAACCAUAAACGAUGCCGACUAGGGAUUGGCGGAUGUUAAUUGAUGACUUCGCCAGCACCUUAUGAGAAAUCAAAGUUUUUGGGUUCCGGGGGGAGUAUGGUCGCAAGGCUGAAACUUAAAGGAAUUGACGGAAGGGCACCACCAGGCGUGGAGCCUGCGGCUAAAUUUGACUCAACACGGGGGAAACUUACCAGGUCCAGACAUAAGUAUGAUUGACAGAUUGAGAGCU